GACGAACGCUGGCGGCGUGCCUAAUACAUGCAAGUAGAACGCUGAAGAGAGGAGCUUGCUCUUCUUGGAUGAGUUGCGAACGGGUGAGUAACGCGUAGGUAACCUGCCUUGUAGCGGGGGAUAACUAUUGGAAACGAUAGCUAAUACCGCAUAACAAUGGAUGACACAUGUCAUUUAUUUGAAAGGGGCAAUUGCUCCACUACAAGAUGGACCUGCGUUGUAUUAGCUAGUAGGUGAGGUAACGGCUCACCUAGGCGACGAUACAUAGCCGACCUGAGAGGGUGAUCGGCCACACUGGGACUGAGACACGGCCCAGACUCCUACGGGAGGCAGCAGUAGGGAAUCUUCGGCAAUGGGGGCAACCCUGACCGAGCAACGCCGCGUGAGUGAAGAAGGUUUUCGGAUCGUAAAGCUCUGUUGUAAGUCAAGAACGAGUGUGAGAGUGGAAAGUGCACACUGUGACGGUAGCUUACCAGAAAGGGACGGCUAACUACGUG
This 497-nucleotide ribosomal RNA is filed under the name uncultured bacterium. RNAcentral's name for it is "partial 16S ribosomal RNA". It matches the Rfam family "Bacterial small subunit ribosomal RNA", at positions 28 to 507 of the family's 1533-position model. The record is from RNAcentral.